GAUGAAGAACGUAGUGAAAUGCGAUAAGUAAUGUGAAUUGCAGAAUUCAGUGAAUCAUCGAAUCUUUGAACGCACCUUGCGCCCGCCAGUAUUCUGGCGGGCAUGCCUGUUCGAGCGUCAUUUCAACCAUCAAGCCCCGGGCUUGUGUUGGGGAUCUGCGGCUGCCCGCAGGCCCUGAAAACCAGUGGCGGGCUCGCUGUCACUCCGAGCGUAGUAGCACUCGUAUCUCGCUCAGGGCGUGCCGCGGGCUCCGGCCGUUAAACCGCCUCUUUAGCACCCAAAGGUUGACCUCGGAUCAGGUAGGAGGACCCGCUGAACUUAAGCAUAUCAAUAAGCGGAGGA
This 342-nucleotide unclassified non-coding RNA is filed under the name soil metagenome. RNAcentral's name for it is "partial contains 5.8S ribosomal RNA, internal transcribed spacer 2, and large subunit ribosomal RNA". The stretch from base 1 to 120 matches the Rfam family "5.8S ribosomal RNA", at positions 35 to 154 of the family's 154-position model. The record is from RNAcentral.